This 346-nucleotide RNase P RNA is filed under the name Dehalococcoidaceae bacterium. Its description in RNAcentral is "RNase P RNA component class A". It matches the Rfam family "Bacterial RNase P class A". From Rfam's summary of the family: Ribonuclease P (RNase P) is a ubiquitous endoribonuclease, found in archaea, bacteria and eukarya as well as chloroplasts and mitochondria. Its best characterised activity is the generation of mature 5'-ends of tRNAs by cleaving the 5'-leader elements of precursor-tRNAs. Cellular RNase Ps are ribonucleoproteins. The record is from RNAcentral. Lineage: Bacteria; Bacillati; Chloroflexota; Dehalococcoidia; Dehalococcoidales; Dehalococcoidaceae.
GUGGAUGACCGGACGACUGCUAAUUCGUUAGAGGAAAGUCGGAACUCCUUCGGACAGAGUGCCGGCUAACAGCCGGGCGGUGAAAACCGAUGGAAAGUGCAACAGAGAAUAGACUGCCUAUUUAUAGGUAAAGGUGAAAAGGUGCGGUAAGAGCGCACCGUGCUUUUGGUAACAGAAGUAGCUGGCAAACCCCGCUCGGAGCAAGACCAAAUAGAAGGGUGUUUAAAUGUCCGAUUUAGCCCUUGGGUAGGUUGCUUGAGAUUUAAGGUAACUUAAAUCCUAGAUGGAUAGUCGUACAUCGUUUUUUAAACGAGGACAGAAUUCCGCUUACAGGUCAUCCACAUAG